UACGUAGGGUGCGAGCGUUGUCCGGAAUUACUGGGCGUAAAGAGCUCGUAGGUGGUUUGUCGCGUUGUUCGUGAAAUCUCACGGCUUAACUGUGAGCGUGCGGGCGAUACGGGCAGACUAGAGUACUGCAGGGGAGACUGGAAUUCCUGGUGUAGCGGUGGAAUGCGUAGAUAUCCGGAGGAACACCAGUGGCGAAAGCGGCCACCUGGACUGCACCUGACGCUGACACGCGAAAGCUAGGGGAGCGAACGGG
This 253-nucleotide ribosomal RNA is filed under the name uncultured bacterium. Its description in RNAcentral is "partial 16S ribosomal RNA". It matches the Rfam family "Bacterial small subunit ribosomal RNA", at positions 524 to 776 of the family's 1533-position model. The record is from RNAcentral.